This 456-nucleotide ribosomal RNA is filed under the name uncultured bacterium. Its description in RNAcentral is "bacterial SSU rRNA". It matches the Rfam family "Bacterial small subunit ribosomal RNA", at positions 340 to 786 of the family's 1533-position model. The record is from RNAcentral.
UACGGGAGGCAGCAGUGGGGAAUAUUGCACAAUGGGCGCAAGCCUGAUGCAGCCAUGCCGCGUGUAUGAAAAAGGCCUUCGGGUUGUAAAGUACUUUUCAGUCGUGAGGAAGGUGUUAAGGUUAAUAACCUUAGCAAUUGACGUUAGCGACAGAAGAAGCACCGGCUAACUCCGUGCCAGCAGCCGCGGUAAUACGGAGGGUGCGAGCGUUAAUCGGAAUUACUGGGCGUAAAGGGCACGCAGGCGGUUAAUUAAGUUGGAUGUGAAAUCCCCGGGCUUAACCUGGGAAUGGCAUUCAAGACUGGUUAGCUAGAGUCUUGUAGAGGGGGUAGAAUUCCGAUGUGUAGCGGUGAAAUGCGUAGAGAUGUGGAGGAAUACCGGUGGCGAAGGCGGCCCCUGGGACAAAGACUGACGCUCAUGUGCGAAAGCGUGGGGAGCAAACAGGGAUUAGAUACC